GGGGCCGCUGGACAUAGCGCGUGCUAUCAUGCAAGUCGAACGCUUUGUGGUUAACUGAUUUGAAGAGCUUGCUCAGAUAUGACGAUGGACAUUGCAAAGAGUGGCGAACGGGUGAGUAACACGUGGGAAACCUACCUCUUAGCAGGGGAUAACAUUUGGAAACAGAUGCUAAUACCGUAUAACAAUAGCAACCGCAUGGUUGCUACUUAAAAGAUGGUUCUGCUAUCACUAAGAGAUGGUCCCGCGGUGCAUUAGUUAGUUGGUGAGGUAAUGGCUCACCAAGACGAUGAUGCAUAGCCGAGUUGAGAGACUGAUCCGCCACAAUGGGACUGAGACACGGCCCAUACUCCUACGGGAGGCAGCAGUAGGGAAUCUUCCACAAUGGGCGAAAGCCUGAUGGAGCAACGCCGCGUGUGUGAUGAAGGGUUUCGGCUCGUAAAACACUGUUGUAAGAGAAGAAUGACAUUGAGAGUAACUGUUCAAUGUGUGACGGUAUCUUACCAGAAAGGAACGGCUAAAUACGUGCCAGCAGCCGCGGUAAUACGUAUGUUCCAAGCGUUAUCCGGAUUUAUUGGGCGAAAACCAAACCCAAACC
Molecule: ribosomal RNA, 595 nt
Filed under: Weissella sp.
Lineage: Bacteria; Bacillati; Bacillota; Bacilli; Lactobacillales; Lactobacillaceae
Description: bacterial SSU rRNA
Rfam family: Bacterial small subunit ribosomal RNA
Source: RNAcentral